Molecule: ribosomal RNA, 439 nt
Filed under: uncultured bacterium
Lineage: Bacteria
Description: partial 16S ribosomal RNA
Rfam family: Bacterial small subunit ribosomal RNA
Source: RNAcentral
CUACGGGAUGCUGCAGUGGGGAAUCUUGCACAAUGGGCGCAAGCCUGAUGCAGCCAUGCCGCGUGAGUGAAGAAGGCCUUAGGGUUGUAAAGCUCUUUCGCUAGGGAAGAUAAUGACGGUACCUAGUAAAGAAGCCCCGGCUAACUCCGUGCCAGCAGCCGCGGUAAUGCGGAGGGGGCUAGCGUUGUUCGGAAUUACUGGGCGUAAAGCGCGCGUAGGCGGACUGAUUAGUCAGAGGUGAAAUCCCGGGGCUCAACUCCGGAACUGCCUUUGAUACUGUCAGUCUAGAGACCGAGAGAGGUGAGUGGAAUUCCUAGUGUAGAGGUGAAAUUCGUAGAUAUUAGGAAGAACACCAGUGGCGAAGGCGGCUCACUGGCUCGGAACUGACGCUGAGGUGCGAAAGCGUGGGGAGCAAACAGGAUUAGAUACCCGUGUAGUC